GGAAGACCAGAAUGUUCUUUAAAGACAAUUUGGAGUUGAUUGUAAUAGUCAUGAACAGGUUCAUCAGGCUUUUGUGUGCAAACUUGAAUUUUGUUCCAGUCAGCAGGCUUAGUAAAAGCUACUAUAAUUGCUUGAUGAAGCUUUGUGGAGAGUGUUCUAGCAUCCUGCCAAAAGUUAGGGGUCUGUUUUCUCUAAAUCCCCUUCAGGCUGUUCCCAUCGGGCUAGUUUCAUCCAUUGUUUGGCCAGGCCCUCGCCAACAGGAAUGUGGACUAAUAUAAAUCUGAGAAACCAGGUUGGUAAAUGUGAAUAACUCUGUUAAAUUCUUCAGCAAACCUUAUGGGGGUCCUCAGUCACUUUGGGAAACUCUAACUAUGGCUCACAGUUUGGCCCUAUUCCAGGGAACAUAAGAAAUGUGGGGCUUAUUUGGAUCCUCCGAGACUUAACUUUAAAGGAGAUUUUAAUAGGUCUGGGAGAGGAGGGAGAAGUUCCUUCAUAGGGAAAGCAAAGUUGAAAGAAAGGAUUAGCUUGGGGGAAUAUAGAGGACCUGCAGAGCAAAUAGAGGAAAAUGGCGCCAGAGGUUGGAUCUGAGCUAGGAGGCUGCCAUAUAUCCUGAGACAAAGAGGAACAGGGAAGAGAAAAGCGGCUUUAGCUGCCCUUUUUUCUUUGUUUGCCUCAGCUAGUAUAAAUUUUAGAUUCCUGAUAAUGUUUGGAAGCUGCAAAAUACCAAUCAAUAUAGGCAUGCCAUUCAGUUGAUAAUUUUAGAGCCAGGCCUGUCCAAUCCAGUUUUGAGAAGAGUCAGUUUAGGAAGAUGGAACGUUCCCCACUAAAGUUCCAAAUGACUUUUGGUUAAGUUGGUCCAUUUAGUUAGAAAUGCGCAUGAAGAGGGACUGCAGUUUUUAAACAUAAAACCAACUGGGGUCCCAGAAGGGGGAGGGCACCCCCUAAAGCAUUUUGAGGGCUGGGACUCCAUUUCUUAAGAGGUGCAUUCUCUAAAGUAACAAAAAUGUCCUAAACAGCACAGUUUUUCAACAGGAAAGACAUGAUUCCAAAAGGAAUCCUACCAAAGGCCAAAUGAGUACUCUCAGAAAGAACAAAGCCUUAAAACAGAUCCCGAAUAGUCUGGAGAGCUCAAAACACAGAGUGGAGCUUGAAAUCCAGGAGAAAACUUACCUGCAAACUCUAAGGUCAUCAGGAGAGCAGCUCACUUGGCUCUGGGUGCCCGCACUGCUUUACUCACAAAGUAUUCUAGCUUUUACUAAGCCUGUUGAUUGGAUCCUCUCUGGAUCCCACUCUGAUCACUAAAUAAUGUGAACCUUAAAAAUAAAAGCCCAUUAUUUUACCAGCAAAAAAAAAGGGAGGGGGGUUAUUCAAGAAUAACAGGAUUGCAAUUCCGGGCAUGUAAGCUACGGCAAAACCAUAGGCAAGUCCUAUCCUAAACUAAAGGAGAGGAAGAUUACUUUAUGGAGGAGGAAGAGGACCUCAGAAGGGGUACUGAAUGAAAGUCCAUUGGAGAAGAGCAAGAGUUCAGGGUGAUUACAGGUUCUUACUGGCUGAGUUGCCGGGGUCAUCCAUUUCUUGUAGGAGAUACGAUGUACAUCUUUCCCUGUUGGGGGUCUGUAAUUGACAGUUCUUCUGGUUGUAUGGCCCCCCCUUCUGUCCUCCCUACUCCACUUUAAUGAGGUUUCCUUUCCUUAACUUCCGCCAUUGUAAGGGAGUCUCCCAUUGGUGUCUGGGGAGGUGGGAUCUUGUAGGGACUGGCCGAGUGUGUAUUUGGUCCACCUGAGUGAGAAACAGAAUGAGGAGUGGCCGCAUGUGAGAAUUAGCCACCAGGUGGAACUCCCCUCUGUGACUAAUCAGGUGAGUGCUAGAAUGACCUCUAGUGAAAGAGAUCCAGUCAGUUCUUCCUCUCGUAUUCUCUGCAUACCUGAUAGCCAGAGCUCCCCUUUGGGGAAGAAUAUUUAAAGUCACUAUAAAGGAGAAGAUGAAUUUGGUGGAAAAGCCAAUUUUUUUUUUUUCAGAAAUCUAAAAGGAACCUCAUAAAGGUUAUACUUAAAGUAUUAAACCCAGAGUUUAAACGGUUACCCCAAGUCCCCUGUAGAACAUGAAUCAGAUAACAAGGGCUCUGGCCAUGUGGAAGAACCAGACCUGUACAUAACACCGCAUUUGUACUGGUGUUCACCUUGACGCUGGCCGGGGGGGGUGGUAUUAGCUCCAUUUUUAAAGAUCAAGAAACUGAGACACCAAGAGAUGAAGCGACUCACCCCAAGGCUUUUGACUCAAGUUAAAGGUUCGUUCUUUUCUCUCACAAAGGCUCUCCAAAAUGUGAAAAACUUUUCUAGGCACUUAGCUUUCUAAUUUCUGUUUGAAGGGUUUUUCUGACUCCUUCCAGGGCUGCCUCAUCUGGUAAUGGAGCUUGACAGGCAGGGUAAAAUUGACACGGUUAGCACAAAGAAGGAUGCCCUACUUUAACAAUAACAAUAUUUUUAAAACCCUUGCACAGAUACAGAUACAUGAAGGAGUUACAUAUUGGCAUUUUAGAGGGCUGUUUAGGUCCGAGCAAGGAUUAAAGAAUGUCUCCUUUAUAUUGCAAAUUUCCUGGGAUGUGCUGAAAAUAGGACCUGAUUUGCCCAGUGUGGAUUUGCCUGCAGCUCUUGGAGCCCCUGGGCUGUCCGUCCCUUCGCAUGGCAGAACUGUAGUCAGAGGUUUCGGAGUCUUGGCACCUCAUUGCUGGGUGAUGGGUGAGCUAGGACAAAGUGACCUCAAGAGAGACAGAAGAAAAAGGAGGGAGGAGCACUUGGGGGCUAUCACAACUCCUAAAACCCAGAGAAAUUUGGUGAAGGGAUUCAAACGAUCCCAUUGGGCCAUAGAAACAGCCAGAUUUGUCCCAUUCUUUUGCCAAGUCUAUCAAUUUAAAUUGGCUCCAGAUCUCCAUUUCUUUACCUAAAUACUGUGGCGUGUGACUUAGUUUCUCCUAUGUGGUUGUCAGGACAGUUAGCCCAGUGGGAUCAUGUUCAGUUAAAUGAAGAAAGGCAUUUGUUGGAGGGGCUGGGAGAACUCCCAGCGGCCAGUGAGGAAGGCGUCAGACACUUUGGGGCAGAGAAUGCUGGGAUGAGGACUUUCCUUCGGCGGGCCCAAGCUGACUUAGAAGGUGCAAAGAGGGAGCAGAUCGUGCAGGAUUUUGAGCUUGGAGUUUACCUAUGGAAUCAACCUGCUUGGGCAGUUUUAACGAGGUUUCAACUAAAAUCCCUUCUCUGGGGUUUCUCUCCGGGCUGGGGCCAGAGCUGCGCGGUGCCAAGGCGUCUGGGGAGCCAGGAGCUCUGCCAACCUCGUUCGCACUGUUGGGGCAGGGCAGGCCCCCUCACACCCAUUCUGGGCCUGUCAUUAAAACCAAGGAAGUGCUGUUUCCCUCAGUAAGCCUUUUCCCUCCCUGGCUCAGAAGGGAGGGACACAGCCUGGGUAACACAGGUGUUCUAAAUCUGGGGACCGUGAGGGGCUUUAGGGGCCCACGAAUGCCCUGAAACAUGGGUGUCAUUUUGCGGGUAGAUGUAUUUUCCUGGACUAAGGAUCUGUAUCUCAUCACAUCGGAUUCUCAGAGGGACCUUCCUUGAUAAAACGUGAAACUCUGACAGUCCAGGGCUGGCCCUGGAAAGAACACUCCAGAUCGCAGGCUACCCCAGCACUGGGAUCUCAGCUACGUUGCCACCUGCUUGCAGUGAUCAUGUUCUGCUUUUGAGGUCUCUCCCUGGGUAUGAUUGGCAGCACAUUCUGGCCUUGGGGAUCCUUUUUUUUGUGAAGCAAUUAAUUUGUAUUAAUGAGCCAUCCAUGGAUUUCCCAUAGUACAAAUGAGAGGCUUUCCCCCCUCACCAGGGGAUGCUUUCACAAUCCUGACGACCCGGCCACACACCAAACAUUCUAAUUCAGUUGUCCUAGGAUGGAGCACCUUGGAUGAUUUUAAAUGUGCAGCCAGGACUGAUAACCUUUGAGCUUGGACAAGGGACAGAAACACAGACAUGAAUUAAGGAGACUAGUUUUUAUCCCCUCUGCCACUUUUGAUCACUGGUUGAAAGCACCUGAAAUACUCUAUUGUGAAGGUUUUAAAACCAGUUUCCAGCUCAGGACGAAAAGGAUUCAAUGCAGUGGUAACGUCUAGGGGAAGGGAAAUUGUUAGCAUGUGUGCAGGUAUUUUCCAUCUUAGAUACCUGCGUACACAUGUGUGCAUGCAUGUUAUGCAUGUUUAUGUACAUGCAUGUGCAUACAUAUAUAUUAUCACAUGUAUGUGUAUAUAGACACAAGGUAAAGGGUACUCGUGUUCAACUUCUGGCCCCAGCUCCCUCUGCUCACACACACAGCCUUAGAAGGGCCGUGCGGGAACACAGUACAUGGAGUGCAGUACCCACCUUGCAUUUCCCUCUAGGAGGUCGCACUGCGUCGACACCAGGAACGGUAAGGAGAGUGGGUACACGCGUGCGGAUGGGGAGAGACCAACCUGCGGAGCCGGAGCGGGAGUGUGAUGUGUUCUUUGCCCUCUCGCAGGCUUCAUCCCCCCUCCCCUCAUCUUCGGGGCCGGCAUCGACUCCACCUGCCUGUUCUGGAGCACCUUCUGCGGGGAGCAAGGCGCCUGCGUCCUGUAUGACAACGUGGCCUACAGAUACUUGUACGUCAGCAUCGCCAUCGUGCUGAAGUCGUCCGCCUUCGUCCUCUAUACGACCACAUGGCAGUGCCUGAGGAAAAACUAUAAACGCUACAUCAAAAACCACGAAGGCGGGCUGAGCACCAAGCCAGACAGGAUUCAGAAUAAGGAGAGCAUGGGAUCGUGUGUUUGUCGUCCGACCUGCUGGGGCCCAGAGUCUACUCUUUGAAGGCACCUCAUGCUUUUUCGGGAUGCCGACAGCUGCAAGCAACAGGCACUGCCAAAUUCAGGGAACAGUGGUGGCCAGCUUGGAGGAUGGACGUUUCUGGAUAUACAUACACAUACAAAACAAAUUUUUUUUUAAAGUCUACUAAACAUCACAAGUUGACAACCAGGAUAAGCACUAGGGACACACACCCCGUGCUACCUGCCUCCUCCACGUGGGGGUGGGGAGCAUGCAAGUUGGAGGAGCGGGUGCUCCCUCCUCUAACUUUCGCAAUAUGGGUCACUGUGUAGACGACUCACCCAGUCUGCAUGUGGUUCAAGGCCCCCGAGUUCUCUCAGCGAUGCUAAUGGGUGAUCCGUGCUGGAGUCUAAUUGGCACCUCUCACCAGCUCCAUGUUCAUGUUCAAGACUGAGGGCCCGAGGGGGGAGCCGGGCGUGGGGGGCCAGCACCUCACUUCCCCCCCCCCCACCGCAGCGCCCCCCAGCCCCGCAGAGUGACCUCAGGAAGCGGUGGGCCUCGCCUGGCUAUGAUUGACUUCGCUCAGAGCCGGUGAAACCCACACAGUCCAAGUCAUUUGCUUACAUUUGCCAAACAUUUUACCAUUUUUAAAGGAAAAAAAAAAAAUGCAAUGCAUAUGAAUUUCAAACUGUUGUAUGUAUAAUCCUCUAAUACUAUUUUUAACCACUUCUAAAAUCCGUGUUAACCCUUCAAUCACUAACACAGUUCUCUAGGCUGAGUUUAUUAUGCUGGUUGCUUUUUCCUUUCCUCCUCUUUUUAAUGCACCAAAAAUAUAAUGUGAUUCAAGGGAUGCAAUUAAUCUAUUGUAAUUUUUUUUUUUAUCGUUUUAUCCUCAUUCGGAUAUUCUGCGAAAACAAGAAUAUACCAUGUGCUACGGGAAGAAAAAAAAAAAUUCUUGGGAAAGAGUAUCUAUGCAGCCUGCCUUUAAAGGAAUCACAUUUGAGACAACAGGGGAUAAUGUGAUGAAUUGCAAAUUCGCCUUCUGGCUUUAUUCCCCGUGAUUCAGUGAUCACUGUCAUGGGAAACCCUUUUAUAUUCAUGCUUCACGUUCCAAGAGGCGUUCUUUUCAGCCCGUGGAGGAGACCGCUUAGAUGUGGGUUGUGUGGAUGGGUGCGGUGCUUCUGGGGGUAGGCAAGAGAAGGAAUGGUCCCCUAGCAUGAGCUGUCGAGCAGUUUGUGGGGUCUGUGAUGGUGAAUAGACCCACAGGGUCGCGGGAGCCACCGCAUGUCCGAUGCAUUAAAAUGUCACUGUUUUUAGGGUCAGUCUUGAACGAAGGGGCCUCGGUCUGUGUUUUGAAAGUGGUUAACCCUCCAGCAGCUGGCAGGCAAACCUCCUUGUUUGGGAGGAGAAUCGUGGGUGCAGCUUUUGGGGUCAGCAGCCUCAGCCUCAUGAGGCCAUUCCCCGGAAGGGGACAGGGCUUAUGGGAGAGCCCGCACUCACGCACGCACACAUGGCCCAGUUAACGUUCCUUUCGUGUUUCCUCAGUGACCUUGGUCCAGGCCACUCAUGGCCCCGAGAAAGAUCUCAAGGUUUGUUCUUUGGUUUGCCUUUUCACCUGAGACACAGAUGUGCAGUUCCCCCGGAGGGCAACAAAAGAAUCAGGAAUGAAAAGAGCGGGGAGAAGACCGGGCUCUUGUGCCAAAUUUCUCACACAUACUGUAAAUGGGGUAGUUUAAGUGACAGCCCGAAACUAGAGAAAGCCCCACCGAGCAAGGACAACUCAAAGAGAAGCUUGUGUUGUGGUGCGGGGCCACCGUGAUCAGCUGCCUGGGACAGGAUGCUUCCAAAAGCACCCUUCUGUGUGUUUACUUUCAGUCUGUCCUUGUCCGUGAACAUGGGGGCACUCAUCAGUAUGUUAACUAGUAAGAGGCGGGAUUGUUCUCCAACCAAUUCAUAAAAUAUGUAUACUCUGUCGCUCCUAAGGCUUUGAAACCAUUCUGUACAGGUUUGGGGUGAGUUUUGUUUUGAAAUGUGUUGCUAAUAGGUCACUGCCCUCUGCGUAGCUCUCCAAACUCAGUACACACACACUGAGCUCCGCUGACCUUGUGUUUUCAUGGGGCCAUUUGCUUUAAAAAGAAAAACGUUUUUUUUGAAAACUCUUUGCAGUUUGGAUUUUUUUUCCCUAAGAUUUUAGGAUGAAUGAGAUGUUGAGAUGAAAAAGGAAAACACCUCCAGGGCUCAGUUUUGUCAACAACUGGAUAUGAACUUAAAGUCCCCCAUUGCAAGAUGGCUCCAAAGUGCAGUGUGUCACCUUUUAGAGUUUUAAUGUCUCUCCUACUGCAGAACAGAAAACCUAGUCUGGUGUUAGGUUUCCUUUUGUGCUACAAAGAACCAUUGUACAUAAGCAUUAGAUCCAGCUCCUUGGUUAUUUGUUUCAUUUUGAGUGGUAUUUUGAAUGAAAAGAUUUCCUGGCAAGAGCUCCAUUGGACUUAGAGAAAACAAAAAUGUAAGGGAUAGAAUAAACCUAGAAGGUGAACACUAA
Molecule: non-coding RNA, 7356 nt
Organism: Leptonychotes weddellii (Weddell seal)
Lineage: Eukaryota; Metazoa; Chordata; Mammalia; Carnivora; Phocidae
Source: RefSeq, a predicted model, not a curated record